GAUGAACGCUGGCGGCGUGCCUAAUACAUGCAAGUCGAGCGGUAACACUUCGGGUGACGAGCGGCGGACGGCAGAGUAACGCGUAGGAAUGUACCCCAAACUGAGGGAUAACUGCCCGAAAGGGUAGCUAAUACCGCAUGUGAUCUUCGGAUUAAAGCUUUUAGCGGUUUGGGAACGGCCUGCGUAUGAUUAGCUUGUUGGUGAGGUAAUGGCUCACCAAGGCGACGAUCAUUAGCUGGUCUGAGAGGAUGAUCAGCCUGACUGGGACUGAGACACGGCCCAGACUCCUACGGGAGGCAGCAGUAGGGAAUUUUCCACAAUGGGCGAAAGCCUGAUGGAGCAACGCCGCGUGCAGGAUGAAUGCCUUCGGGUUGUAAACUGCUUUUGUUUGUGACGAUUAUGACGGUAACAAGCGAAUAAGGGUCUGCUAACUACGUGCCAGCAGCCGCGGUAA
This 454-nucleotide ribosomal RNA is filed under the name uncultured bacterium. RNAcentral's name for it is "partial 16S ribosomal RNA". It matches the Rfam family "Bacterial small subunit ribosomal RNA", at positions 28 to 523 of the family's 1533-position model. The record is from RNAcentral.